Molecule: small nucleolar RNA, 127 nt
Organism: Manis pentadactyla (Chinese pangolin)
Lineage: Eukaryota; Metazoa; Chordata; Mammalia; Pholidota; Manidae
Product: small nucleolar RNA SNORA31
Exons: 1
Source: RefSeq, a predicted model, not a curated record
AUAAAUCUUUUCUGGAGCAGUUACUAUCUGCUGUUGAGGUUUCUGCUACAGAUGCACAAAAAAAGUGUCCUCCCACUUUCUGUCUGUCUGGAUUGUGGCGGCCCAGAUUGAAUAGGGGAAUACAGGA